This is a non-coding RNA of Epinephelus lanceolatus (giant grouper), 272 nucleotides long. NCBI's taxonomy places the organism in Eukaryota, Metazoa, Chordata, Actinopteri, Perciformes, Serranidae. The record is from RefSeq and is a predicted model, not a curated record.
GUUCAGACUCCAUUUUAAACUGGACAGAGCAGUCAGAGGAAUACAGGUCGUCUGAGACACGUUUUCUCAGAUUUGGGAAGAUGGUUGAUUUGGAGGCAGACGGGGACAGAUCAGAGUCUCCAGUGUCCAGCUGUCAGCUGUCUUUGAAGAGUGACCGCAGUAAACCUCUUUCUCUAAACUUCAGUAAUGAACCUGGACCCUCAGACACAAAACAGAGAGCAGAGUCUCCAGUGUCCAGCUGUCUGUCUAUGAAGAGUGACUGGUCCAAAGAU